CCUACGGGUGGCAGCAGUCGGGAAUAUUGCGCAAUGGAGGAAACUCUGACGCAGUGACGCCGCGUAUAGGAAGAAGUUUUUCGGAAUGUAAACUAUUGUCGUUAGGGAAGAGAAAGGACAGUACCUAAGGAGGAAGCUCCGGCUAACUCCGUGCCAGCAGCCGCGGUAAUACGGAGGGUGCGAGCGUUAAUCGGAAUUACUGGGCGUAAAGCGCUCGUAGGCGGUAUGUCAAGUCAAGGGUGAAAUCCCCGCGCUCAACGUGGGAACUGCCUUUGAAACUGGCAAACUGGAGUGUGUGAGAGGAUAGUGGAAUUCCAGGUGUAGGAGUGAAAUCCGUAGAUAUCUGGAGGAACAUCAGUGGCGAAGGCGACUAUCUGGCACAUAACUGACGCUGAGGAGCGAAAGCGUGGGUAGCAAACAGGAUUAGAUACCCGUGUAGUC
RNAcentral lists this ribosomal RNA (441 nucleotides) under uncultured bacterium. Its description in RNAcentral is "partial 16S ribosomal RNA". It matches the Rfam family "Bacterial small subunit ribosomal RNA", at positions 338 to 795 of the family's 1533-position model. The record is from RNAcentral.